RNAcentral lists this ribosomal RNA (426 nucleotides) under Triticum aestivum (bread wheat). Its description in RNAcentral is "partial small subunit ribosomal RNA". Lineage: Eukaryota; Viridiplantae; Streptophyta; Magnoliopsida; Poales; Poaceae. The record is from RNAcentral.
AUGUCCAACACAUGUCGUUCUCGUGCUACUGUAGAAGACACACUUGCUUCUGGAACUGCCAAAUUCCCUGUUGCUGGCGAUUUGAGCCCUUGCAAACUGUUCUCUGGAGAGCCUCUAGAACCACACGCAGGAGCACCAAAGAGAUCAGCCAACGAUUCCAAUGAAAGCUUUUCAAGCACCAAAACUGCUGGGCCUCCACGUGAUGAUGAGUUUUGUAGUGGAAAGUGUGCUGGAGCUGGCCUGCCGCAUGUGCCGCCAUCAACCGGUCCGUCUACUAGGCCGCGGGCACUAGCGAGCGAAGCUGGACCAGCCCCGUACGCGACGACGUGCCUCGACUCAUGCCUGCUCGUGCGGACUGCCUGGCUUGCCACUCGUUGCGAUGCACCCAACGCUGCUACCGUCUGGACUCGCCAUGCUAUCCUCUGA